This 449-nucleotide ribosomal RNA is filed under the name uncultured eukaryote. RNAcentral's name for it is "bacterial SSU rRNA". It matches the Rfam family "Eukaryotic small subunit ribosomal RNA", at positions 319 to 771 of the family's 1831-position model. The record is from RNAcentral.
CUCGAGACGGCGGGGUAGAGGCCCGCCGCGGUAACGACGGGUAACGGGGAAUCAGGGUUCGAUUCCGGAGAGGGAGCCCGAGAAACGGCUACCACUUCCAAGGAAGGCAGCAGGCGCGCAACUUACCCUAAUCUCGAUUCGAGGAGGUAGUGACAAGAAAUACCGAUGCGGGACCCUACGGGUGCCGCGUUCGGAAUGAGUACGAUUCGAACCACCUAACGAGGAACGAUCGGAGGGCAAGUCUGGUGCCAGCAGCCGCGGUAAUUCCAGCUCCAAUAGCGUACGUUAAAGUUGCUGCAGUUAAAAAGCUCGUAGUUGAACGUUCGGGUUCCGCGGGACGGGGCCGCCCCGCGAGGGACGGCGCCGCCCCGGGGCUCGUGAUAUCUCAUCUCGCCGCCCGUCGCGAGGCGGACGGAGGGAUGGAUGAGGUUACCUGGAAAAAAUCGGGG